Molecule: long non-coding RNA, 2573 nt
Filed under: Gallus gallus (chicken)
Lineage: Eukaryota; Metazoa; Chordata; Aves; Galliformes; Phasianidae
Source: RNAcentral
GUGAGCUGAAAGCGGUUCGGGGGAUGCCCCCCCUUCGGGGGGCAUACCUGAAUGGGGACGGGAUCAGCUCAGCCCUCUGCCACAAGGAGAAGUUCUGGGUGUGCAGCAGAGCCGACAGCUACGUCUGCUGGAGGAAGGAGAAAUACCCAGAAUGACAAAUCCCAUCCGCACCAAGCUCGUGCCAACACUACUGGUCUCUGUGAUGCCACUGGUGUAUACUGGAAUCUGCCUCUUUCCAGCACUGCUGCAGCGGUUCCUGCAUGGAUCCACACAACUCUGCUGGUCGUUAUCUCUCAGGCGCUAUGUCUGUUCCUGUGUGCCUUAAAGGGAGGGUCUUCUGAGGGUCCUUAGAGGUCGCAGCAGCUUGGAAGGAUCCCACGGUGCUGCCCCACUGCGGCCGGACCCGAGGGCGGGGUAUUCCUGCUCUCCUUUCGGGCUCUGUGUGACACUGCGGUGCCACCACCAUGUCACAUCGCGCUUCCAUCGCUGCCAGCCACUGUCUGACUUUGGCUCUGGGCAGUGAUGUAUGGAAUCAAACUCUUUAACCUAUCUAAGUUAAAUAGGUUAUAAGGCUGUACCUCAUUGUGAACUUCCGAGCUUUUAAGGGGGGUGUAGCCCAAACCAGCUUGUAUUGCUGUGUUGAGCUGAGGCAUAUCUUUACUGUCCUGUCUCAACAACGGGGAAUCUCUUCUCUGUUCUUGUUGUUUGGCAUCGAGCUUCUGCGGACUUGAGCUGAUGUGUACACAGGGACCUUGUCCUUCUGCUUGUAUCCACUCAAGUUAUGUGAAAAAGGCCGUUCUCAAAAUAUGGAAAAGCUGUUGUUAUGAUUCAGUCCACCCUUUUCUAUAUCCCAGGCAAAUCCUUCUGUCUGCAACGCACUGUUGUCCAUUAACACCGUCCUGAAUUACUCUCCUGGUUCCCUCCGGUGCCUCAUCCGAUGUCUCUUCCAGGUGUUGCAGUCAUCUGGAUUUUUUCAACAGCACCAGAACGCACACCUAUGCAGGCUGCUGCUGUGCAGAUAAUCAAUACAAUUACUACAAUUACAAAUAGUUGCUUUAGCCAGGCCCAGCUGGGGAGCUGUCGCGAACCCCAAUUCCAGGUUGUCGCGGAUUCCCCAGGGCUCGGAGAACCAGAAUCUAGUCAGUUCGCUGGCCAAGCCGCGUGGGGAGUGCUGACAUGACCCAAUACGAGUGCAUCAAAAUCUCCGUUUGUUAUCCGUUGCUUACCCAUGUAUAUAGAUUGUGGCAAACGUGCGUCAGCUCGUAAUUGGUUGAAACAUUGCGAGAGCCCCCGGCCCUACAAUCCCAUUGGCCGUAGAGUCACACAUCUUGCUCGCCUAGCUACAGAUACAGCAUUAAUCGUCCCAUUGUUCUUUGUAUUUCAUUACUCAGUCUCUUCCCAGGCUAACUUCCCCCUUAUCUUAGCUGCAACCUCAGCUCCUUCUCUGUGCAUUCAUAACCUCAAGGUCUCCUAGCCUGAGCUGUGCACGGAGCGCCCGAGCUCAGCAAGUCCUUUCUUCCUGAGCCAUCAUAGCAUAGCAAGCUAGUACUUUUCCAAUUGUAUCUCCUGCCAACUAUAAGGCCCGUCCUGCUCGUACAACCGUUCAAGAGACCCGUGGCCCCCUUGGUUAUCGAGCCAUUCCUCAACAGGGAGCCGAGAUGUUGGCUUCUUGCAGAGUUCCGAAAUUGCACUCGUUACCUCACGGUGUGUCAUCCUGGGUUGCCUGGUGUAAGACUUUCACACGAUCCCAGGUUUUCUGAACGCCGACCUCUAUUUUACCAUACCCAUCUAUGUGAGUGCAACAACUAGUGUUAAUCAGGACACGUACCCCCCCGUAUGAGCCAUUAUUAUAUCCAAAGCCAUUCUAUUUUGAAAGACCGUCCCUUUCAAUGAGUCUACCUCCCAGUUCGAGUGAUAAGGAACUUCAGUGCUUGGAUUUGCUGUUACCUCAAUUUCUGCUGAAAUAUUCACUAUAGCCCAUUCCAGCUGUGCUAUACGUAAGGAGGGGAUUGAAGGGCAAAAUCAGGUCCCCGCAGUAUAGAAAGAAGGGCUUCAUAGCAAGAAAAGAGAAAGCAGCUUCACAAAGCAGACAUAAGGGGCAAAUAGAGAUAGUUUAUGUAGAGAGCAUUAGAAAACAAGGGGUUCCAAGCACUUUCACAGGCGCUAGGUCCGGAAUAACAAGGAGAGUGAAGGCCAUAAGGAUAAGGACCGGAGAACAACUCGAAAACAUUUGGCAGGGAGGUGAUUGGAUGACUACAGGGCAAGCUGAAGCCGGUUCGGGGGAUGCCCUCCAUCUUCAGGGUCAGAAGUUUGCAGCGAGGAAGACUACGAGCCUUCAUCAUCACGACCCGCUACGCACACGCAAGGACACGAGCUUCCUGCCUUCAGAUCCUUCUCUACGGACCGUUUGCUGACGGACUUCCCUGGGCCUGCUACCUGAGACCUGCUGCUUCCUCCCUGACCUGCAUCCUCUGGUUGCCCAAGACCCCCCUCGCUGCUCCUGCCCUUCGGCCUCGGACCGUCGGAACAUCGUGCAACGGACUGCUGCCGGAUCCUGGUGGUGCCUAUCCCCG